GUAACCGCUGAAUUCCAAUUGGAAGCGGGGGAACCAAUUUUUUGUGGCGCUGCCACUUGGGGUGAAUCCUUUUCAAGGUAAGGUGACUCUUUGCACCUGAAUCCGACAGCUAACCUCGCAAGCGUUUAAAGAGA
This 134-nucleotide small RNA is filed under the name Bacillus paralicheniformis. Its description in RNAcentral is "ydaO/yuaA leader". It matches the Rfam family "c-di-AMP riboswitch aptamer (ydaO/yuaA leader)", at positions 11 to 128 of the family's 134-position model. Rfam says of the family: This family represents a conserved RNA structure found upstream of the ydaO and yuaA genes in Bacillus subtilis and related genes in other bacteria. The ydaO/yuaA element is thought to act as a genetic "off" switch for the ydaO and yuaA genes in its native state. The record is from RNAcentral. Lineage: Bacteria; Bacillati; Bacillota; Bacilli; Caryophanales; Bacillaceae.